AUUAAGGUGGCAGAGCAGGUAACUGCAUAUAGAACUUAAGUCUUUAUAAUCGGGGGUUCAAGCCCUCUCUUUAAUA
RNAcentral lists this transfer RNA (76 nucleotides) under Monodelphis domestica (gray short-tailed opossum). It matches the Rfam family "tRNA". From Rfam's summary of the family: Transfer RNA (tRNA) molecules are approximately 80 nucleotides in length. The record is from Rfam by way of RNAcentral. Lineage: Eukaryota; Metazoa; Chordata; Mammalia; Didelphimorphia; Didelphidae.